AAAGUCGUAACAAGGUAUCCGUAGGUGAACCUGCGGAUGGAUCAUUACUGUAAACCGAGGCGGCUUCUCUUUCGGGAGAGCCCAACCCUCACCACACUUUGUGAACUGUUUCCUGUCUCUGGCGGGCGGUCUUUUUUUGAAAAGAGUCCAAAUGCCGGGGGGUUUUACACACCUCUCGUUGGCACGCGGCCUCUCGGAAAAGAAGAUCCAAACCCGCCGCUGGGUUUUCGGACCCAGUAUUUGUUUAACUCUAAAGCUUAACCAACCAGUCUGAAACAACGUUUAUACUUUAAAAUGUAUUAACAACUUUUGACAACGGAUCUCUUGGCUCUC
Molecule: unclassified non-coding RNA, 333 nt
Filed under: Chytridiomycota sp.
Lineage: Eukaryota; Fungi; Chytridiomycota
Description: partial contains small subunit ribosomal RNA, internal transcribed spacer 1, and 5.8S ribosomal RNA
Rfam family: Eukaryotic small subunit ribosomal RNA (bases 1-47)
Source: RNAcentral